UCCGGGCUCGUCUAAUGGUAGGACAGCGGACUCUGACUCCGCCAGUCGAGGUUCGAAUCCUUGGCCCGGAGCCA
Molecule: transfer RNA, 74 nt
Filed under: Myxococcales bacterium
Lineage: Bacteria; Pseudomonadati; Myxococcota; Myxococcia; Myxococcales
Description: tRNA-Gln
Rfam family: tRNA
About the family: Transfer RNA (tRNA) molecules are approximately 80 nucleotides in length. Their secondary structure includes four short double-helical elements and three loops (D, anti-codon, and T loops).
Source: RNAcentral